This is a long non-coding RNA of Brassica rapa (field mustard), 9542 nucleotides long. RefSeq lists it as uncharacterized. The record is from RefSeq and is a predicted model, not a curated record. Lineage: Eukaryota; Viridiplantae; Streptophyta; Magnoliopsida; Brassicales; Brassicaceae.
AAUCCCUCUUCUUCCAUCAUAACCCUUAACUCUCUGUCUUUCUCUGGAAUAUAUAGUAAUAUUUAUUAGUCUCUUGAAAAAUGAAAUACGCUUUGUGUUUCGUCUCAUCCCUUCUCGUGAUUUCUUUCAUACUUCUCCUUGCCACAGAGAUGAAUCUGGUGGAAGCAAGAGUUAAUGGGGAAAUAAGCAAAACUUACGUUAUUUGUGGAAACGAAAGAGUAUGCAACUGGACCUGCAUCUUUAACGAGCAUUUCACAAGAGGUCGAUGCCGACACUUAUAUUGUUACUGCUUCCGCUAGCAUUUUUAAGAUGUGAUCUUCAUAAUGUUAAUUACCUUAAAAACAUAUUAUAUUCUAUCUUAUCCCUUCUAUCCUUGUUAACUAAUUAUAUAUUCAUCAGUUACAAAAAAAAAAAAAAACUAAUUAUAUAUUCAGUUAAUAACAUACUUUAAAUAUUUUAUCUAAACUAUUUCAUAAUUAAAAAUAAUUAAUGUAUUUUAAUAAGAUCUUAAAUUUGACUCUACUUUUUUGUUUUUAUAUAUUUUUCCAUUGCGACAUCGCAAACGGAAAAUUUGGAUACUGUAGCUAAUUUUCGCCCAACAGAAUUUUUUAAUAUGUGAAUAAAUAAGUCAUUUUAUAAUAUCUCAUUGUAUAUUUACACAACAAUGCAAAGAAGUAAUAAGCUAAUAGUUAAAAACAUAAUAUAAAAUUCAAAACUAAGCUUUCUUAGUAAAUUACGUCUUAACUUAAUUGUUCUGAUCGUGUAUGAAUGAAUACUUAGACGGUUGAAUCAUUUGCCACGUAGCAAAUUAUGGGGGAUGAUUGAUUGAAUAAAAUGUUUCAAUGAGAUGAGGAAGAGAAGGUAAUGUUGUAUAGGCUAGAUUAGGCACAUAGACUGAUGAAGUUCCAGAAAUUUCUUGAGUAACGAGAAGAAGACCAAGUCGACGAAGAAAUGAUACGGGUGUCUACUUCUCGACAAAUUACCUACAAUCCUUAUUAAAGUUCACUUUAAAUUAUCUGUAAGUUAUCUAAAGAGUGCAUUACCGUUUAGGACAUUUUUUUACUUUUUUGACAGAAUAAGGCACAUGUUGCUGGAUGAACACUUUUCUUCUAGAGAGAGACUUCGUUCGGACGGAAUUACCCUUCGCUGAGUAAUCUGAAGUAUGAAGCAAGAUUAUGUGGAUUUAUGUCUAGUUGGUGGAGACCCCAUUUAGUUACGUUUGCGUUUCAUGGUAAGAGUUAUCAAGAUUGGUUUAUAGGUAAGUGAGACACAUUGCAACCAUUGGAUGUGAUCUAAUCCAACAGUAAUGGAUAUCUAACAGGUUUGAGUUUCACAGCAAUAGAUUUUAAGCCAUCAGAUUGGAGAGGGGGAAAAACUAGAUCGUAGGAUUGGAUUUUUUUUGAAUUUUAUGAAAUUACUAUUAUCAACUCCCCUCUAUUUCGUUAUGUGAUUUAUUUUGACAUAUUAAAGUAUAUCAAUAAAUAAAUUGAACAUAAUAAAUUAUAACUUUUUGUUGUCAACAUUUUAAGAUCUAUUUUAGUAUAUUUUAGAAAUUUGAAUAUGAAAAACAUAUCAUGACAAAUCUUUUUUUUGUAGAUUAAAUGUUUAUGGACAAAUAAAAUGUGGACAUAUAUAUUGUGGAUAUUGAAAAAAAAUGACCACAGACAUAAUAAAUGUAUAAAAACCAAUUCAGUAUAGAAAAUGGUCUUUUAAGCUAUUAGAUGUGGCAACUUGAACUAUAUUGUAGGAUUAUAAUUUUUUAAUUUUCUUAUAUUACUAUUAUCAAUUUUCCUAUAUUUCUUUAUGUGAUUAUUUUAACAUAUUAAAGUAUAUAAAUAAGUAGAUUAAAUAUAAUAAAUUAUAAAUUUUUCUUCUACAUUUUAAAAUUCGUUUUAGUAUAUUUUAAAAUUUUGAAUAUAAAAAAUCAUAUCCACAAAAAAAAUUGUCCAUUAAAUGUUUGUGAACAAAUAAAAUGUGGACAUAUAUAUUCUGGAUAAAAAAAAUCAUAGAGUUGGACACAUAUAUUGUCCAUUUUGUUGAAACUAGAUCGUAGGGUUGGAUUUAUUUGAUUUUUUUGAAAUUACUAUUAUAAAUUUCCCUCUAUUUCUUUAUAUGAUUUAUUUUGACAUAUUAAAGUAUAUCAAUAAAUAAAUUAGACAUAAUAAAUUAUAACUUUUUGUUGUCAAUAUUUUAAUAUCCAUUUUAGUAUAUUUUAGAAAUUUGGAUAUGAAAAACAUAUCAUGACAAAAUAUUUUUUGUUGAUUAAGUGUUUAUGGACAAAGAAAAUGUGGAUAUAUAUAUAUAUAUAUAUAUAUAUAUAUAUAUAUAUAUAUUGUGGAUAUAAAAAUAUAUGGACAUAUAUGUUGUAAUGUUCAAAAAAUGUGGACAAAUAAAAUGUGGACAUAUAUGUUGUGGACAUAAAACUCAGCAAUGAAAGAAGAAGAAGAUCCCAACCAAGAUAAAAAGUUUUAGCAUAUCAGCACACACUUGAACACAUCGAUCACAAGCUUCAGCUAACAAACUCAAACUCCCAGGACGAACAAUAUCUUGGGGUUUCUUCACAUCAAGUUUAGGAGAAGUAGGUGUAAGCUGUGGACAUGGAUACAAUUAAUGUAUAUAAGAAAAUGUGGACAAGGACUAAUGUUGAUUUGAGAAACGUGGUUUCACAUUACCAAGUAGAUUGUAGUCUUUAGGUCCUUCACUUGCGUAUGAUCGAGCUCCUGCAAGACAUUGAAACAACUAAACUGUGAAUAGAGCCAUUAAUAACCAAACACAAAAGAGUAUUGACACGACAUACAAACAAUCAAUUAAAAUGCUAAACAUGUAAUACUAGAUCAAAAAUGUCAUUCUUGUUAACUAAUGUAUGUCUAAUUAUAAAUCAUUUUCCCAAAAAAAAAAAAGAUCGCUGGCUUCAAAAAAGAGCUGGGAAUAAAUAAAAAUCCCUCAGCUUUGAGCAGAGUUACACAAACAUAAUCCUUCAGCUUUAACUUCAAUUAAAAUUACAGAAAAAAAAUUGAUGCAUCGAAGAACCAACCUUUUGGAUAUGAUAGAGAACAGAGUCUGCGAUGAACAUCUUCAACAGCUUUUACUGGACAGAGAGUGGUUUGAGGAGCUUCAAAUCGAAAGGUGACAGAGACGACGGCUUGAUUCUGAUAGUUAUAAGCACUUUCGAUCAUAACUGCCAAAAAUCUCCGGUAAAGAGUAGAUGUUCAGACACUUGAUGGGGAAUCUAUCAGUCGUAAAUAAUCUCGGCGGGAGUCGGAGGUCUGGUGGAAUUGUUUGCGGUGGGUUUUGUUGCUCAGUAAUCUUCGCUUUCUUCUUCAACUUCGAUUUCGUCAUGGCUCGUUACAGAUGAUGAAGAGGAGCGACGAAAAACAAAGGAAAUAGAGUAGUUCACGAAAAGAGGAAAGUAGAUCUGAGAUUAGCAAGUGGGAGAGAGAAUAUAGGUCGUUUGCGAAAUUCAAAAAUUGAUUUAUGAUAUUGCAAUUUAGAAAUUAUUAUUUUAUCAAUAAAAGUUGAAUGGGAUUGACUCGUUAAAGGAGAACUAGAAUUAGAGGAGAGUAUAGUUGAAGGGCAUGUAAAACAUUGCACAUAGAUAAAGUGUGCCUCCAGCUAAAAGUGUCUUAAUGUGUUAUUGGAAAGACAUAAUAUGUCUUAAAGAGUAAAAAUUUCUUGUCUAAAACGCUUAACAAGAUUUUUGUUUUGAUUUGUCUAUAAUAACUAUAAUAAUUUGGACAGAAGUUAGGUUCACCCUAUAGGGUGAAUCUUUAAAUUCACCUCACUCUUUAUAACUAAUCAAAUUUUGCACAUAGAUUAUUAAUUAUAAAAUAUUAAAUUAAAUAAAAAAUAGCUACAAAAAAUAAAAACGCCAAUUUUAACAACGCUAACGCUUCCACCUAAACCAUAAAUCUUAAAUUCUAAACGCUGUACCCUAAAUCCCAAAUCCAAAUCCAAACCCUCAAACCCAAACCUUAUACCAUAAACCCUAAUCUUAGACCCUAAAUCCAAACAUGUACCCUAAACCCUAAUCCUAGACCCUAAACCCAAAUUAUAUACCUUAAACCCAAAAAUAGGCUAUAAACCUAAAUCAUAUACCCUAAACCCAAAUCUUAGACCCUAAACCGUAAACCUUAACUCAAACCCUAUAGCAUCUAAGUUUUGGAUUUGGGUUUAGGGUUUACCGUUUGGGUUUCAGGUCUAGGAUUUGGGUUUAGGGUAUAAGUUUUGGGUUUAGGAUUUACGGUUUGGGUUUAGGAUUUACCGUUUGGACUUGUGGUUAAAGUUUUGGGUUUAGGGUAUAUAAUUUGGGUUUAAGGUUUACGGUUUGGGUUUCGGGUCUAGGACUUAGGUUUAGGGUAUAAAGUUUAGGUUUAUAGUAUAGUUUUUUUGUUUAGGGUAUAUAAUUUGGAUUUAGGGUCUAUGAUUAGGGUUUAGGGUAUAGGGUUUGGGUUUAUGAGUUUGGAUUUGGAUUUAGAAUUUAGGAUAUAGGGUUUAGAAUUUAAAAUUUAGGAUUUAGGGUUUCGUUGGAAGCGUUAGCGUCGUUAAAAUUAGCGGUUUUAUUUUUUGUAGUUAUUUUUCAUUUAAUUUAAUGUUUUUUAAUUAAUAGUCUAUGUGAAAAUUUGAUUGUUCUUAAAGGAAGGGGUGAAUAUAAAGAUUCACCUUAGGGAGUGAACCUAAGUUGUGUCCUAAUAAUUUUAGAUCUCGACUCAUAAAAAAAAAACAAAUGCCCCAAAAAGGUGAUCGAAACCAAUAUAUCAAGUGAUCCUACACAUUCGCUUCAGCUUUUGAAUUCCUAAACCAUUGUACUUCAUAUAUGUAGGACAAAUUUCUUAAGUAGCAUAAAAGAGUUUUUACCACAAAAUAUUACACAAUAAGGAAAAAGAUCGAAACAGCAUUCACGAAAAAAUAAAAAGGUUAAAUUACUCUUAAUAAACAAUACAUUUAAUAUAGAAAAAUUUCCUAGAAUAGGUUUUUUCGUUGAUUUUCACAAAAUAGUCCUUGAAAAACAUAAUCAAAAUAAAUUUUAUUAUAAGGUAAAAAUAUAUUUUUACUUUACGGUUAACUAAUCUAAAUUGAUGAUUCUAUAUUUAGAAUUAAGGGGCAGUGUUUUGGGAUAUGGUUUCAAAUUUAAAAAAAAAUAUUUAAAUUUUCAAAAUAAAAAGACUAUUUUGGUCAUUCUCUUUUUUGAAAGCUAUUUUUGUGAAAAAAACUUAGAUAUUGCUAUUUGAGAGAAUUGCCUUUUAAUAUAAAUCAGUAUUUUUAAACUUAUCAAAUUUCUAUUUGAAAAUAUAAAAAUAUUAAUAUUCUAAGUUUUAUAUCCUAAACUCUAAUCAUAGUCUUUAAAUUCUUACUUCUAAUACAUAAAGUACUAUUCUCAAAAUUUAAAGGAAAAAUUAGAAAAAUACUUUGCAAAGAGAUUUUAUUUUGAAAACUGCUAUGUAUUUUAUUUCUUUUGAAGAUUACACUUUCUCAUAAGCUAAAUGACUUUUUUUUUUUUUUUUUUUUGGUCAAAAAGCUAAAUGACUUAUUUAUCCUAAUUAAAAUGUAUAUACAGCAAGAAAAUAAAUUUAUUAUUUUAAAUAUAACUAUAAUUUAAGUGACAAGUAAUAAAAAAUAUAUAAAAUAAUCAUCGUUGAAAACAUAAUAUUUUACGUGAAGAAAUAUCACAGUUGUAUGAAACUUGUCAAUUUUUGAUCUAGUGUCUUUGUGUUUUAUAAUUUUUUGCAUAUUUUUCUAGAAGUUUCUGGGCAUAGUCUUGACCAAUCCAAAUUAACAAGCACAUCGACAAUGUUUUGUCCCUAGUUCUAUAAUUAUUCAGCGGAGAGAAAAAAAUUUGAAGUUGCUGUUUCGGUGAGAUGAUGAUUCUUAACAUGUAAAGUUUUAUAUUAUGUAUCAAAUUAAUAUUUGUUAUAUAUAUAUAUAUAUAUAUCUCUAUUAUUAAAAGAGAAGUACCCUUUAAAAAAUACCUCUUAGUUUUUAAAGUUAAUUACACUUCCAUGCCACUAAGAAUUAAAUUAAAUUUUUUAUUUUAAUGCUUGUCUUUUUGAUUAAUGUGUUUUCUUUAUUCAAAUAUAAAUUUAAUGUCAUUAAAUGAAUCUAUAUAUUUUAAUGUUUGUCUUUUUCGGUUAAAUUAAUGAGUUUUUUUUAAUCAAAUUUAAACUUAAUGUCAUUAAAUAAACCUAAAAAUACAUCAUAUUAAACGUAGCUUAUUACGGAUGAGUACAACCCAAUAAUGAACUUGAAUUUUAUUUUUACGAAAACGUGAAUCACUUGACAUAUAUAAUAUUUAAAAAUAUUAACUACAAUAUAACAAAUGCAUAUAACCUAACUAUACUUUAGUUUGAAAUGAUCAUGCUCAAAUAAUAUAUAGUCAACUUACAUCAUGCAUCUAUCGAUGUACAAUAUUCAAACCACCUAUAGUUUUCGUUUUCUUUAUAAGAUAUAUCAACCAACCAAUCAUCCUAUUGAUUUUCUAAGCUUUAUAAAAAAACAAAUCAAUAAAUACAAACUCAAAAUCCAAUAUCUUUUAUUAAUCAAAACAUAAUAUCUUCAAUGUCGUAUCUUUAAUGUACCUAUUAAAUAAAGAAACUGUAACCAUAAUUACAUUAACUAUAGGAAUAGAUUUGAUUCCAACCAAUUGAUCUAUUACUUUGGUAAUUGAUUUGCUUGCAGAAGAGGAAACAAUAAAUUUAAAAUUUGUAAGAAUAUAAAGAUAUAGGAUUCCAACUAAUUGCCUAUAUUUGCGUAUGAUUUUCGCAUAAUAAGCUUCAAAUUGAACAUUAAAAAAGAUAGAGAGAUUUUUUAAUCUUUUACCGACACAUAACUUAAACAAAACGAAGAGUUAAAGGUAUUUUUUUGUUACACUUCCCGGAAAAAAACGGUUACAACAUGGGCUUUCAUAAUACGGCAUUUUAACAUAAUAAUGUUAUGGACAUUUAAUAAUUAUCUUAACAAAAAACAAAGACUAUAAAUAAUUUAUUAUUAAUAAAAUUAUGAAAUUAUUUACAAUUUAAUGACUAAUUCAUCGCCCUUUUUAUAUGUUAAAUUUUUCAUAAAAGUUUAAAAAUCAUUGUAUUUACUUUAAACAUUAUAACUGAUUUAUAAUUUUUUAUGCCAUACUAAGUCAUAAUAUAAUAUUUCUUCAUAUUUUACAUUAAUGACCAUUAUUUUUAUAUAUCGUCUACAAUUCUCUAAUUACGUCUAUUUGUUCAAUUUUUUAUAUGAUAUUGAAUAUUCGUCGUAAAUAGAUGGUUUAAGAUGCCAAAAAAAUAUUUAGUUAGUGAAUGUAAUACAUCAAAUAUUAUAAAUAUAUCAUUUAGUUAAAUAAAUAACCAAAAAUAGAAAAUUCAGAUCCGUGCUGGCACGUGGAUCUGGGUCUAGUAUACACUUAUUGGACAAGUGUGAUUUUCAAAAAACUAAUUAUUAAAUAGUGUAUUUUCCUAAUUAUCCCUUGAUCCCUAGUCCCUACUGCUGGACAAAAAAAGUCUCUUAAUAUCUAUUUCAUAACUUUUUAAUCUUAUAUAUAUCUAUCCUUUAGUGAUAAUAUUUUAAAUUCUACUUUUGUGUUAUUUUUGGGAUAUAAACAUAUUUAAAUAUUUAUUAGUAUUUUUUUCUCUGAUAUCUACUAAUAUAAAAUAGAGCUUUAUUUUCUUCUCCUUUUGCCACCUAAUCAAAUAGGCUCACCAGAACCUGACACCUUUCGCACCUAUUAGCCGAUGAGAACGAUGAGCUUAAUACACGUAUGAAACCGACGACGGCUCUGCUUCUUCCGCAGUUAGUUGUUCGAGUUAAUCCUAGCAAUAAUGAAUGUUAAUCAAUCAUUCCCCUCACUACCUUCUCUUCGGUUCAGCUUCUCCACCUUCUCAAAUAAUCAGAGUUGCUCUAUAUAUAUAUGGUGCUCAUCCUCAAGAUGGAACGCUACAUUUUGGUUACUAUUUCUACUGUCGGGAUCAACCGAAGCUUGAGCUUUAUAUCAUUGUGAAUUCCCAGAUCCACUUCUCCGAUUCGAAGGCCAUCGGUUGCAAACAAGUUGUCGUGACACGCCUGCUACGCUUUUGUAAGUGCUGGAACCUAAAAAGGAGGAGAGCUAAUUGGAGUUGAUAUGGUGUUAGACUUCGACUUUGAUUCAGAGACUUUCAGCGUGUGAUGAAAACCUGUCCAUUCAGAAUUUUAUGGUAACAAUACAAUUGGACAGGCCUCUGAUAUGAUCAUGAGUAGCUGAUGACCUGAGAAGAAAGAAGUGAAGUAGGAGCUUGCACCAGCUUAAGGGAAAUACUCCAUUUCAUUUAGAGUCUUUGAAGUUAGAGACUUCAGAUGACAAAUAAAUAAGAAAGUCGAGAGUUAGAAGUUUCUGUAUGCAUUUUCUGAUUUGUAAACUGGGUUGAUUGAGCUGGGCUCUUCAAUGGCGACGAUCUGAUGAUCGUCGAGCUCCGAUUAUCUAGAGAUAAUCGGUAGCGAGUUGUAAUCAUUUCUGGAGAUUCGAUUACGUUAUCGAUAAAGUACUUCGUUGAUCUUGAGUUCGAGUUUAGAUCAUAACAGGCUCAGACUGUCUGUGUUAGUGUGUUUGGUAAUGUUGCAAACUUAGAUGAGAAGCUACACUCUUGGACAACACGUAAUAAUAUCUUAGCUGUUAAUAUCAGUUGUUGCUGUCUGUGUUAUGGGACGAUUCAUUGGCCUUUUAUGCAUUAACCUACACAUGGUAGCCCCUCUUACAAUCAAAAUGCUCAAGAGCAUGAUGAUGGAGAUGGGUUUAUGAGUAACGCUACGACAAACCUUAGCAUGUCAAGAGGUAGAAGGUCAAUAAAAUCACCUCAAAAAUAUCAAGAUAUGGAGACCACGGUACGAGGGAAGAGUAAACAGGGAAGAGUAAAUGGGGUCGUCGAGGCCGUGGAUAUCGUCCAACUCCCUAGUAUCUUUCCUUUCUUUCUAUGAUUUAAUAAACAUAUGUACCAUAAGUUUCUCUUGUUCUAAGCUAUUGCUUGGCUGAAUAUGAGGUUUGUCUCAUCAUAAUUUCUCAAAUUUUAUGGUUGUGAUAUUUGUUUCAUAUUAAGUGUCAUUUUAUCAUUUUUGUGACAUAAAAAUUGUCAUUCUAUAAUUUCAAUGCAAUUUAUAUUUACUUUUAACUCAAUAUUAAUUGUAAAAUGUAUUGAUUUUAUAAAUAAAUGUAUUUGUCUGAAAUGAUAUUAGUUAAAUAGAUGAUAUUAAUAAAAACUUAAAUGUAUUUCAAUCAGUUUCUUGAUAUGUAUGAAAAAUGUCUAAGUGACAUUCUUUGUGAAACAGAAUAAGUAUGUUUUUAAUUUUGAAUGCCUUUUUCAAAAAAAAAAUAUGGUAGUAAAUGUAUAGAAGCAGAAAGACAUUGAAGUAAUAAAUAUCUAAGUGUUUAGUUUUGGAAUAGGUCCGACUCGUGUUUUUAUUGAACUUUGUGCAAAGCUUUAUUUUUAUAAAGCAAUACAAAUAAUUUGUAUAAAUAGGCCCUAAUUUUUUAGUAAAAAUUUUAAAGUUUUACUAAAAGUUUGCAAAAAAAAAAAACAAAUUUGGACCAU